CCAAUAGCGUAUAUUAAAGUUGUUGCAGUUAAAAAGCUCGUAGUUGAAUUUCGGGAUCAAAGGAUCGGUCAUGCCUUGGUAUGUACUGGUUUUAUUGGUUCUCACCUUCUAAAGAACCAUAAUGUCAUUCAUUUGAUGUUAUGGGGAAUUAGGACUGUUACCUUGAAAAAAUUAGAGUGUUUAAAGCAGGCUCACGCUUGAAUACAUUAGCAUGGAAUAAUGAAAUAGGACGUUUGAUCCUAUUUUGUUGGUUUCUAGGAUUGACGUAAUGAUUAAUAGGGAUAGUUGGGGGCAUUAGUAUUCAAUUGUCAGAGGUGAAAUUCUUGGAUUUAUUGAAGACUAACUACUGCGAAAGCAUUUGCCAAGGAUGUUUUCAUUAAUCAAGAACGAAAGUUAGGGGAUCGAAGACGAUCAGAUACCGUCGUAGUCUUAACCAUAAACUAUGCCGACUAGGGAUCGGAUGAUGUUAAUUUUUUAAUGACUCAUUCGGCGCCUUACG
This 499-nucleotide ribosomal RNA is filed under the name uncultured Glomeromycotina. RNAcentral describes it as "SSU rRNA". It matches the Rfam family "Eukaryotic small subunit ribosomal RNA", at positions 591 to 1092 of the family's 1831-position model. The record is from RNAcentral. Lineage: Eukaryota; Fungi; Glomeromycota.